Molecule: non-coding RNA, 295 nt
Organism: Cinara cedri
Lineage: Eukaryota; Metazoa; Arthropoda; Insecta; Hemiptera; Aphididae
Source: the annotation of a GenBank genome assembly
ACCUUCUAAGAGAAAAGAUCUUUGUAUUUGUUAUUGAAUUUAGCGAGAUUGCUAUCUGCAUUUGUUGAUCCACUUGUUAAACUUCCAGUCCAUGCAGGAUGAGUGUGAGGAUCUCUAUCGAGUUUUAUCUUAUCACCUUCUUUUCCAUAAGUAGAACAAGUUUCGAACUCUUCACCAUUUGUCAUAAUUAUAAUAACUCUGUGAUAAUCAAUACUUUCCAUUGUUGCUCAUUAAUCUUUGACUAGUUAGUAUAUUAAUUACUUUACUUCAUUAAGUCAAUUUUUUUAUUAUGCCU